RNAcentral lists this ribosomal RNA (1126 nucleotides) under Klebsiella pneumoniae. Its description in RNAcentral is "bacterial SSU rRNA". It matches the Rfam family "Bacterial small subunit ribosomal RNA", at positions 8 to 1125 of the family's 1533-position model. The record is from RNAcentral. Lineage: Bacteria; Pseudomonadati; Pseudomonadota; Gammaproteobacteria; Enterobacterales; Enterobacteriaceae.
AGAGUUUGAUCAUGGCUCAGAUUGAACGCUGGCGGCAGGCCUAACACAUGCAAGUCGAGCGGUAGCACAGAGAGCUUGCUCUCGGGUGACGAGCGGCGGACGGGUGAGUAAUGUCUGGGAAACUGCCUGAUGGAGGGGGAUAACUACUGGAAACGGUAGCUAAUACCGCAUAAUGUCGCAAGACCAAAGUGGGGGACCUUCGGGCCUCAUGCCAUCAGAUGUGCCCAGAUGGGAUUAGCUAGUAGGUGGGGUAACGGCUCACCUAGGCGACGAUCCCUAGCUGGUCUGAGAGGAUGACCAGCCACACUGGAACUGAGACACGGUCCAGACUCCUACGGGAGGCAGCAGUGGGGAAUAUUGCACAAUGGGCGCAAGCCUGAUGCAGCCAUGCCGCGUGUGUGAAGAAGGCCUUCGGGUUGUAAAGCACUUUCAGCGGGGAGGAAGGCGUUAAGGUUAAUAACCUUGGCGAUUGACGUUACCCGCAGAAGAAGCACCGGCUAACUCCGUGCCAGCAGCCGCGGUAAUACGGAGGGUGCAAGCGUUAAUCGGAAUUACUGGGCGUAAAGCGCACGCAGGCGGUCUGUCAAGUCGGAUGUGAAAUCCCCGGGCUCAACCUGGGAACUGCAUUCGAAACUGGCAGGCUAGAGUCUUGUAGAGGGGGGUAGAAUUCCAGGUGUAGCGGUGAAAUGCGUAGAGAUCUGGAGGAAUACCGGUGGCGAAGGCGGCCCCCUGGACAAAGACUGACGCUCAGGUGCGAAAGCGUGGGGAGCAAACAGGAUUAGAUACCCUGGUAGUCCACGCUGUAAACGAUGUCGAUUUGGAGGUUGUGCCCUUGAGGCGUGGCUUCCGGAGCUAACGCGUUAAAUCGACCGCCUGGGGAGUACGGCCGCAAGGUUAAAACUCAAAUGAAUUGACGGGGGCCCGCACAAGCGGUGGAGCAUGUGGUUUAAUUCGAUGCAACGCGAAGAACCUUACCUGGUCUUGACAUCCACAGAACUUUCCAGAGAUGGAUUGGUGCCUUCGGGAACUGUGAGACAGGUGCUGCAUGGCUGUCGUCAGCUCGUGUUGUGAAAUGUUGGGUUAAGUCCCGCAACGAGCGCAACCCUUAUCCUUUGUUGCCAGCGGU